Long non-coding RNA from Daucus carota subsp. sativus, 928 nucleotides. RefSeq lists it as uncharacterized. The record is from RefSeq and is a predicted model, not a curated record. Lineage: Eukaryota; Viridiplantae; Streptophyta; Magnoliopsida; Apiales; Apiaceae. The transcript has 3 exons.
CGAUCACCUCCAACUGGAAGACGACAAUCAAUAUGGUCAGCAGUGGAGGACAAUUAAUAUUAGUCAGGGUUAAAUAUGUUUGACAAUUAGUACAUAAUACACACAAACAAAGCUGAUUAUACUUUGUGAUCUAUGAGUUACUGAGUAAUUAAGUCUACUUACAAAUCCUGCUCCAUCUUUAAAGGACCUCAGCUCUUGAGGCUUUGCAAUAACCAGUCCAGAGGCUCCUGCAUUAUUCACCUGUACAAGAUUUCCAAUAAACAACACUAUAUUGAACAGGCAGGCAAGAUGUCUGAUUAUGAGAUAUCAUAAUGAUCACCAGAAUGUCAAGUUUUCCGAAAUUGCUUUUGACAUAGUUUGCUACUGCUGCAAUACUUGCAGAAUCUUUUACGUCCAGUUGAUGAGAAACAACAUCUAAAUUCCCAGAAAGUUUUAGUUUUUCCACAGCUUCUAUUGCAUCUUUCUGUUUUCUAUCUGUUAAUAUCACUCUGAUUUCAUUUUCAGCAAGCUUUCUGCAUAUCUUAAAGCCGAUUCCUCUGCCUCCUCCUGUCACAAGAGCACACCUACGACAAGUGCAGCUAUAUUACCUUUUUCCACUCACUGCUUUAUGAGUGGUGAAUAGGCCGGAUCGGGUUACAGGUUACAGAAAAGAGGAGAGGAUGCACUCAUGGAGGAUAAUUAGUGCAGUUUAUAAGUAGUCCCUGGCUUAUAUACUUUACAAAUUAGUAUCUAUCCUAAUAAUUCUCGGAUGAGCCAGAGUCGCACCCGGAUGUCCUGGACAACAGAGGAUAAACCCACCACUGGGCUAUCCAAUCGUGCUCAUUUGAAAUAUUUAUUUAGUUUGAUUAUUAGUAUCGUUUUAUAAACAUAUACAGUAUUGUUUGAUAAUUUAGCAACAACAAUGUAUACCUGAAUUGGAAAUGCAUUA